Malus domestica (apple) is the source of this 933-nucleotide non-coding RNA. NCBI's taxonomy places the organism in Eukaryota, Viridiplantae, Streptophyta, Magnoliopsida, Rosales, Rosaceae. The record is from RefSeq and is a predicted model, not a curated record.
CCUAUGGCCGCACGAACCAGUAGCAGGAAGACAAGAAUAGAGAAGAAAGGAAGAUUAUAAAUCCGUUUCAUUCCUUGGCCGUCUUCAUUGUGCCUCUCCUAUCUUUGCUUUCCCAUUCCAUUUCCUUUCCUUUUGCUUUUCUGCGGCAUUUCGUCGAGCAGAAACCAUGAUCAGAUUGUUUAAAGUGAAAGAAAAGCAAAAGGAAACAGCUGAAAACGCAAAGGAGAAUGGUCUCGUAAAGAAGCAAAGUGCAGGAGAAUUGCGUCUUCAUAGAGGAACCUAACAUCGACUUAGAAGCGGGAGCUGUUGCUGAACCGAAAUCAAAUUCAUCACAGCAUAUCCCGUUGAAGGUAGGGUCGAAACCGAAACUGCAUGGUUAAUCGCUAAAAGAUGUUUUCUUGUGCGGAAGAAAUUUCAUGAAAUUAUAGCAGUCGGUAUGGAACUAGUCGUACGAAAAGUGCACUUACUAGUAUGAUAAAAAAUUUGAGUUUUGCAUUAGGCAGUUGUUGCGAUGCUCAGACAAAAGCGGUGAAAAAUUAUCAAGGUGACACAAAUAAUGGGGAUGAGUUGAUGCGAGCAAACAGUUGGUACCUAAUUUUGCCCAAAUUCAUCACAAGGUUCAACCAUCACAAAUGUUGGAAGAAGUCAAGUUGAGUAUGCAAGGAACUUCAGAUUGAUAAAAGAGAUUGGGAAGCUAUGUUCAUGAAGGUUGACGACAAAGCAUCGCCGAACACACAAGCUUUUUGUAGGCACAAAUUAAGGAAAGUGACAAGAAGAAGAAAUCUUUUAUGUGAUGAGGCACCUCGAACCUCAGUGAAGACGAACCUAGCAUCACAAAUUGGUUUGGGUACAUAUAAUUAUUAGGUUAUCUUAUUAGAUUUUUAAGAUGUACCCCUUUUUAUUUGAGAAAUAAAAUUUAAUUAUAAUGUUUCA